Molecule: ribosomal RNA, 515 nt
Filed under: uncultured bacterium
Lineage: Bacteria
Description: bacterial SSU rRNA
Rfam family: Bacterial small subunit ribosomal RNA
Source: RNAcentral
GACGAACGCUGGCGGCGUGCUUAACACAUGCAAGUCGAACGAGAGGAGAAGGAAGCUUGCUUCUUUCGAAUCUAGUGGCAAACGGGUGAGUAACACGUAAACAACCUGCCUUCAGGAUGGGGACAACAGACGGAAACGACUGCUAAUACCGAAUACGUUCCUUAGGUCGCAUGACUUUAGGAAGAAAGGGUGGCCUCUACUUGUAAGCUAUCGCCUGAAGAGGGGUUUGCGUCUGAUUAGGUAGUUGGUGGGGCAACGGCCUACCAAGGCAACGAUCAGUAGCCGGUCUGAGAGGAUGAACGGCCACAUUGGAACUGAGACACGGUCCAGACUCCUACGGGAGGCAGCAGUGGGGAAUCUUCCGCAAUGGGCGAAAGCCUGACGGAGCAACGCCGCGUGAGUGAAGAAGGUCUUCGGAUCGUAAAGCUCUGUUGUCGGGGACGAAUGUUGAGGCCUAGAACAUAGGUUUCAAAUGACGGUACCUGACGAGGAAGCCACGGCUAACUACGUGCCAG